CUUGAGCCUGGAUUCCCCUGUGUGUCAUCUGGAUGCACAGCAGGGAAACCAGGUCUCAAAGCGCACUAAGGCCUUGUCUAGCAAGGCCCUUAGACU
Molecule: small nucleolar RNA, 96 nt
Organism: Elgaria multicarinata webbii
Lineage: Eukaryota; Metazoa; Chordata; Lepidosauria; Squamata; Anguidae
Product: small nucleolar RNA SNORA17
Exons: 1
Source: RefSeq, a predicted model, not a curated record